GACCACAGUGGGCCUGAAUAAAGCCCAUGACGAUUGUCACAGCAGUGAGGAAUAUUGGUCAAUAGCCUAACGGCUGAACCAGCAACUUGGAGGAAUGUAUAGCAAUAGCUACUUGCAUCAUUGUAAAUAGAUGCAAGAUCGACUAUGUCGAAUAAAAUUCUAGGUAGAAUUAUGAUAAUGACAUUGUCUGCCUAUGUGUCUUGACCAAAUUACGUGCCAGCAGUCGCGGUAAUACGUAAAAGACUAGUGUUAUUCAUGUUUAAUCGGUUUAAAGGGUACCUAGACGGUAAAUCAAGCCUAAAAGGAAAUAAAUGAAGGGACUAAUUUACUAGAGUUACUUAUGAGGGGGUAUUAAAGUACUGCUGGUGUAGAGAUGAAAUUCUGCAUACCUCUUUUCAAUAGAAAAAUAAUGGCACAGGUAUAGGCGAAAGCAUCCCCUUAUGUGAUAACUGACGUUGAGGGACGAAGGCUUUGUGUAGCGAACAGGAUUAGAUACCCCAGUAGUCAAAGCAGAAAAUGAUGAAUGUCAUAGAUUAGAUAUAUAAGUUUAUUCUAUAAAUGAAAGUGUAAGCAUUCCACCUCAAGAGUAAUUUGGCAACAUUGGAACUGAAAUCAUUAGACCGUUUCUGAAACCAGUAGGAAGUAUGUUGUUUAAUUUGAUGAUCCGCAAAAAACCUUACCACAAUUUGAAUAUUUAUAUCUUUUAUUG
RNAcentral lists this ribosomal RNA (709 nucleotides) under Cetrariella delisei. RNAcentral's name for it is "SSU rRNA". It matches the Rfam family "Bacterial small subunit ribosomal RNA", at positions 306 to 1003 of the family's 1533-position model. Lineage: Eukaryota; Fungi; Ascomycota; Lecanoromycetes; Lecanorales; Parmeliaceae. The record is from RNAcentral.